This 1486-nucleotide long non-coding RNA is filed under the name Dromaius novaehollandiae (emu). RNAcentral describes it as "lncRNA (ENSDNVG00000000670.1)". The record is from RNAcentral. Lineage: Eukaryota; Metazoa; Chordata; Aves; Casuariiformes; Dromaiidae.
GAGCCCCGGAGCGCCGGGGCUGCCCUCCCCUCCGGGCUCCGCCGCGGCUGCGAGCACGCUCCCCCUGCGUCUCUCCCCAACAGUUUUACAACAGCACAAAUAUCUGUGUGGGUUGGGGAGAGGUUUUUCUUUUUUUUCCCUCCUCUCUCCCUAAUCUCAGCGUGAUCGUUCCGGGACACACGCGCGCACGCACAAGCCUCCCCGACCUUCUCCCCCCUCCCCCCACCCCCGAAAUGCCUGGCAUGAGGGUUUUCCUUGGAGGAACGAGGCUCAGCCGCGGAUCGAGAGCCACCGAGCUCCCAGGCACCGCGUCUCGGUGCACUUUCCCCCAGCUCCGCACGCAGGUGAUUUUAAGAGGAUUUGAAAUCUUUGGAUUGUUUAAAAUAACAAAGGCCUCUAAGCUCUGAGUGUGACAAUGAAGUCUUCAGCCUGAACUCAUGACAGAAACGUUUCAGCCUGUCUCUUGUGAAUCGUGAAAACCUGAACAUCAGCAAAGAAAGGCACCUCAUUUAUUCCUCUUUUUCCUCACUCUGCUAUGUUCUUCUUCCUGGUUUUUAUUUCAUAGGGUAUAACCAUAGUAAUGUAUCAUCAUUAUUAUUAUUUUUAUUAUUUUAACUCGGGCAAGUGAACUUAAACAGGGAAAUUCAUCAGUUUCUAGAUUCAGCACCAGCCUCUGCAGUUUCAUUAUUCCUGUUGACAAUUAGGGAGCAGAGAAGUGCGGAUGUCUGGCCUGGGAGCGCUUGUGUAUUGCCCCCAAAUUACACAUUCCUGUUCAUAAAGAGUGGAACAAAGUAUGAGCGCAAACGUCAUUGCUGGUGUCUCAGGCAACUACUCACAUCUUAAUUGAAAAUGAUCAAAUAACAGCGUUCCCUUCGACAAACAAACGACAUGUACUGCCGUGCCGCUGAAGAGGGCUGAGCUGGAAAGCCCGGAGUGGCAGCCGAGCUUGGCCGUAAGGUCCCCGCGGGCACUGCACGGGUCGUGCUUCCCUUCACCUCGGCUCCGGCAGGCAGGCGCUCCCCUUUUCCCCAUCGCGCUUGCCGCUGCUCCGGUUUGGGUUUUGCCGUGUCCCCGGAUACAUUGCUUUCGCUUCUGCUGGUGAUCUGCAGGUCAAUGCCAUAGCGAUAGAUCGGCUGUUCCUCGCACCUCCACUGACACUUGGAAAUGUAAUUUAGGAGGAUCAGGCCGCCUCGGUGCUGGAUGGACCAAAGGUUUGAUAGCACYGUAGUCAAAGGCCACAGAGAUGCAAAGCUUUUACCAAGCAGCAAAUGAAGUCUUUUCUGAGCCAACUGUUCCACCUGGACCCCACUACAAAUUAUUGUUUUCAAUUACCACCUGUGUACUCCUUCCCAUGCAACUUAUUGAUGUAAAAUUACAACAACACUGGUAUAAAUAAGUUAUGCUGCGGUUGUAAAAUGGAAGAAAUUUUGUUGUAGCAAUUAUGUUCAGCAAGAUGACAAAAUAAAUUUCCAGUGCUGUGCUUGCA